This is a long non-coding RNA of Brassica napus (rape), 2188 nucleotides long. RefSeq lists it as uncharacterized. The record is from RefSeq and is a predicted model, not a curated record. Lineage: Eukaryota; Viridiplantae; Streptophyta; Magnoliopsida; Brassicales; Brassicaceae. The transcript has 2 exons.
CAAGUACUUUAAAAAUCGAAUAACCAAUUGGAACCCGAACCCGAAAAUACAUCGGAUUGUACCGGUUCUUUGAAGAUUUUCUAACCACAAUCCGAAUCCGAACCGGUCCCGAACCGAACUUUCACAUAAUCCGAAUAGGGCUGAUUUGAUAAACCCAAACAAUCGAGACCCGAUUGGAACUCCGAAUGCCCGAGCAUACCUCUUACGACGAUAGCAUUUGUUGCUUGAACUUCCAGUGCUAGCCAUACACUCAUCUCAUCGUCAUUUUCUUUCUCCAUCUCGUCAUUUUCUUUUCCCAUAUUUACCUAAUCUUCCUUCAAAACUUUUUUGAACGAUUCUCUUCAUUUUCUUUUACCAUAUUGAUUACUACUUUCCAAAUAUGUUUCCUUUCUUUCUUUUUUUUCUUUUAUCAAAUCCUAAUUUUUCGAAGACCUUGAAACUUUUACAAUUCCUUUUCUCUGAUAUAUCAGAAAGAUUUACCGGUUUCGAAUCUGAGGUUUUUGGGUACAACGAAAGAAUUUAGAGGAAGACAACAUACAAUGUUAAUCAGAUCAGUGAAUAAAUGUACAACAAUUUAAUGUAUGUGUAUUACUGUUUUAACAUCUUCUUUUUAUAUAUAAAAUACAUUUUGAAUCACUUUCGGAGGGUCCACGUCAUCAAUUCGUGCUCUGUCGAAGCGACACCUGUCCGUUUUUAAAAACUAUGUGUUUCAUUAAAAGGAGUCAGAGAUUUUUAUGGACUACGUUUAGUUUGUGGGCUUUUGGCUUUUGGCUUUGGCACAAUUAACCCAACUCCAUAGCAAUCAGCCCUAACUACCUUUAAACGCGUCUAAUGGAAAAUUAGAGUUCAUCUCCGCUCUUUGUUCUCCGCCGUCGGAGAGAUUGAUUUGCCGAAUUCGAGCUGUCUGAUUUUAUUUCUAAUCAAGCGAAAUAAACUUAUUCUCUGAGAAUGGCUAAUUCCAAAGCUUUUCACUCUGAUUUGAAGUUUGUUUGUGUUCUUCCACUGUUGAGAACUCAUGUGAGUUGAUAUGCUCAUCCUAGAUCUGUUCUUGAACUCUUGAUAAUCAUAAUGUUUAAUUAUUUCGGCUACAUGUAUAAUCUGUUUCUUGAUUCUGAUAACUUUCAAACUCUGUUUCGACCAUUGUGCAAGACACCGUUAGUUCUAACCGGCUUCCAACCUUCUGGCCUCAUCACCUCAGUGUGAUCAAAACUUCAGGCUUUCUGACUCCUCCUUAUUGAUUUUGUAACUCUUUGGUGAGUUAACCUAACCUGUUUAUUCAUUAAUUUCCGGUUCCGUAAUCGAAGCGAACUGAUUGGGCUAGCAAACUCGAGCACACAUCCUCCUCUUAUUUGGUUAUCAGUGUAUUCGGAUGAUAUAUUUAAUAUUCAUCUUCGCGCAUACAGGAAAGAUAUGCCAAGGUCGAUACUCUGUCAAUAUCCGAUCUUAAUGAGUUUAUCAUCACUGCAGGAACAACAAAGAUCAGACUGGAGGAUGUUGAUGCAACUUCACUCACUCUGAAUCUUGGUUCAGAAGAAGAAAUGUCCUCACCGUCACCAGGAAACAUCAUUCAUUACCGUGUAUGGCAUCGUAAAGGCCACAGAAAGAUUACAGAGGAUAUGAAUUGUGCAUUGGUGUCUCCAAACACAAGGUUUGUUAUCUCUAGACUAACUCCAGCUACAGAGUAUUUCUUCAAAGUUGUUUCCUUUAGAAGCAUCAAAGAGACGAGAGUAGAGAAAAACCAACAUCUCUACAAAAACAUCUCAAGAGAGGAAACAAGUUCAAGCACAAAAGAAAAAAAGUUGGCAAAGAAACUGUGUCUGGAGAAGGCGGGUUAAAGACAGCUGAGUUGGCAGGUCAUGUCAAUACAGAUUUCAGACCGAAGUUUCUGACUUGGUAUGGCUUACACGCCAAUGCCGAUGAGAAAAACGUUGUGAAGGCCUUCGUUAACAGGCUCAUCGACGAUUCACCAGCUCUGGCUAACCAGCUCAUUUGCACAUUCUCUGAUCUCAUAUAAAGAAACGUUCUGCGGUUGGUGGUUGCAAUGCGUCUGAUGGAUUCAUAUUUCAUGGUUUACUUUUAUUUGCUUUACUUUCCGUUUGUCUUUUUUUGCAUUUAUCAGAACAUAUUUUAUGGAACAAUAGAUUUUGAUGACUGGGUGAUUUGAAAAAUAAACAGAGACUUCGAGCUA